Molecule: ribosomal RNA, 1705 nt
Filed under: Shigella dysenteriae
Lineage: Bacteria; Pseudomonadati; Pseudomonadota; Gammaproteobacteria; Enterobacterales; Enterobacteriaceae
Description: bacterial SSU rRNA
Rfam family: Bacterial small subunit ribosomal RNA
Source: RNAcentral
UACCUUUGCUCAUUGACGUUACNNNNNNNNNNAGGCCUAACACAUGCAAGUCGAACGGUAACAGGAAGCAGCUUGCUGCUUCGCUGACGAGUGGCGGACGGGUGAGUAAUGUCUGGGAAACUGCCUGAUGGAGGGGGAUAACUACUGGAAACGGUAGCUAAUACCGCAUAAUGUCGCAAGACCAAAGAGGGGGACCUUCGGGCCUCUUACCAUCGGAUGUGCCCAGAUGGGAUUAGCUUGUUGGUGGGGUAACGGCUCACCAAGGCGACGAUCCCUAGCUGGUCUGAGAGGAUGACCAGCCACACUGGAACUGAGACACGGUCCAGACUCCUACGGGAGGCAGCAGUGGGGAAUAUUGCACAAUGGGCGCAAGCCUGAUGCAGCCAUGCCGCGUGUAUGAAGAAGGCCUUCGGGUUGUAAAGUACUUUCAGCGGGGAGGAAGGGAGUAAAGUUAAUACCUUUGCUCAUUGACGUUAUCCGCAGAAGAAGCACCGGCUAACUCCGUGCCAGCAGCCGCGGUAAUACGGAGGGUGCAAGCGUUAAUCGGAAUUACUGGGCGUAAAGCGCACGCAGGCGGUUUGUUAAGUCAGAUGUGAAAUCCCCGGGCUCAACCUGGGAACUGCAUCUGAUACUGGCAAGCUUGAGUCUCGUAGAGGGGGGUAGAAUUCCAGGUGUAGCGGUGAAAUGCGUAGAGAUCUGGAGGAAUACCGGUGGCGAAGGCGGCCCCCUGGACGAAGACUGACGCUCAGGUGCGAAAGCGUGGGGAGCAAACAGGAUUAGAUACCCUGGUAGUCCACGCCGUAAACGAUGUCGACUUGGAGGUUGUGCCCUUGAGGCGUGGCUUCCGGAGCUAACGCGUUAAGUCGACCGCCUGGGGAGUACGGCCGCAAGGUUAAAACUCAAAUGAAUUGACGGGGGCCCGCACAAGCGGUGGAGCAUGUGGUUUAAUUCGAUGCAACGCGAAGAACCUUACCUGGUCUUGACAUCCACGGAAGUUUUCAGAGAUGAGAAUGUGCCUUCGGGAACCGUGAGACAGGUGCUGCAUGGCUGUCGUCAGCUCGUGUUGUGAAAUGUUGGGUUAAGUCCCGCAACGAGCGCAACCCUUAUCCUUUGUUGCCAGCGGUCCGGCCGGGAACUCAAAGGAGACUGCCAGUGAUAAACUGGAGGAAGGUGGGGAUGACGUCAAGUCAUCAUGGCCCUUACGACCAGGGCUACACACGUGCUACAAUGGCGCAUACAAAGAGAAGCGACCUCGCANNNNNNNNNNAAGUCCCGCAACGAGCGCAACCCUUAUCCUUUGUUGCCAGCGGUCCGGCCGGGAACUCAAAGGAGACUGCCAGUGAUAAACUGGAGGAAGGUGGGGAUGACGUCAAGUCAUCAUGGCCCUUACGACCAGGGCUACACACGUGCUACAAUGGCGCAUACAAAGAGAAGCGACCUCGCGAGAGCAAGCGGACCUCAUAAAGUGCGUCGUAGUCCGGAUUGGAGUCUGCAACUCGACUCCAUGAAGUCGGAAUCGCUAGUAAUCGUGGAUCAGAAUGCCACGGUGAAUACGUUCCCGGGCCUUGUACACACCGCCCGUCACACCAUGGGAGUGGGUUGCAAAAGAAGUAGGUAGCUUAACCUUCGGGAGGGCGCUUACCACUUUGUGAUUCAUGACUGGGGUGAAGUCGUAACAAGGUAACCGUAGGGGAACCUGCGGUUG